GAUGAACGCUGGCGGCGUGCCUAAUACAUGCAAGUCGAGCGAACGGACGAGAAGCUUGCUUUUCUGAUGUUAGCGGCGGACGGGUGAGUAACACGUGGAUAACCUACCUAUAAGACUGGGAUAACUUCGGGAAACCGGAGCUAAUACCGGAUAAUAUUUUGAACCGCAUGGUUCAAAAGUGAAAGACGGUCUUGCUGUCACUUAUAGAUGGAUCCGCGCUGCAUUAGCUAGUUGGUAAGGUAACGGCUUACCAAGGCAACGAUGCAUAGCCGACCUGAGAGGGUGAUCGGCCACACUGGAACUGAGACACGGUCCAGACUCCUACGGGAGGCAGCAGUAGGGAAUCUUCCGCAAUGGGCGAAAGCCUGACGGAGCAACGCCGCGUGAGUGAUGAAGGUCUUCGGAUCGUAAAACUCUGUUAUUAGGGAAGAACAUAUGUGUAAGUAACUGUGCACAUCUUGACGGUACCUAAUCAGAAAGCCACGGCUAACUACGUGCCAGCAGCCGCGGUAAUACGUAGGUGGCAAGCGUUAUCCGGAAUUAUUGGGCGUAAAGCGCGCGUAGGCGGUUUUUUAAGUCUGAUGUGAAAGCCCACGGCUCAACCGUGGAGGGUCAUUGGAAACUGGAAAACUUGAGUGCAGAAGAGGAAAGUGGAAUUCCAUGUGUAGCGGUGAAAUGCGCAGAGAUGUGGAGGAACACCAGUGGCGAAGGCGACUUUCUGGUCUGUAACUGACGCUGAUGUGCGAAAGCGUGGGGAUCAAACAGGAUUAGAUACCCUGGUAGUCCACGCCGUAAACGAUGAGUGCUAAGUGUUAGGGGGUUUCCGCCCCUUAGUGCUGCAGCUAACGCAUUAAGCACUCCGCCUGGGGAGUACGACCGCAAGGUUGAAACUCAAAGGAAUUGACGGGGGCCCGCACAAGCGGUGGAGCAUGUGGUUUAAUUCGAAGCAACGCGAAGAACCUUACCAAAUCUUGACAUCCUUUGACAACUCUAGAGAUAGAGCCUUCCCCUUCGGGGGACAAAGUGACAGGUGGUGCAUGGUUGUCGUCAGCUCGUGUCGUGAGAUGUUGGGUCAAGUCCCGCAACGAGCGCAACCCUUAAGCUUAGUUGCCAUCAUUAAGUUGGGCACUCUAAGUUGACUGCCGGUGACAAACCGGAGGAAGGUGGGGAUGACGUCAAAUCAUCAUGCCCCUUAUGAUUUGGGCUACACACGUGCUACAAUGGACAAUACAAAGGGCAGCGAAACCGCGAGGUCAAGCAAAUCCCAUAAAGUUGUUCUCAGUUCGGAUUGUAGUCUGCAACUCGACUACAUGAAGCUGGAAUCGCUAGUAAUCGUAGAUCAGCAUGCUACGGUGAAUACGUUCCCGGGUCU
This 1372-nucleotide ribosomal RNA is filed under the name uncultured bacterium. Its description in RNAcentral is "bacterial SSU rRNA". It matches the Rfam family "Bacterial small subunit ribosomal RNA", at positions 28 to 1381 of the family's 1533-position model. The record is from RNAcentral.